ACUCCUACGGGAGGCAGCAGUGAGGAAUAUUGGACAAUGGAUGGAAAUCUGAUCCAGCCAUGCCGCGUGCAGGAAGACGGCCCUAUGGGUUGUAAACUGCUUUUAUACGGGAGCAAUAAGGUCUAUGCAUAGAUUGAUGAGAGUACCGUAUGAAUAAGCAUCGGCUAACUCCGUGCCAGCAGCCGCGGUAAUACGGAGGAUGCGAGCGUUAUCCGGAUUUAUUGGGUUUAAAGGGUGCGUAGGCGGCUUUGUAAGUCAGCGGUGAAAUUUUGCAGCUUAACUGUAAAAGCGCCGUUGAUACUGUGAAGCUAGGAUUUGGUUGCUGUGGGCGGAAUGUGUGGUGUAGCGGUGAAAUGCAUAGAGAUCACACAGAAUAUCGAUUGCGAAGGCAGCUCACAAAGCCAAUAUUGACGCUGAGGCACGAAAGUGUGGGGAUCAAACAGGAUUAGAUACCCUGGUAGUC
This 463-nucleotide ribosomal RNA is filed under the name uncultured bacterium. RNAcentral describes it as "bacterial SSU rRNA". It matches the Rfam family "Bacterial small subunit ribosomal RNA", at positions 335 to 795 of the family's 1533-position model. The record is from RNAcentral.